AUUGAACGCUGGCGGCAGGCCUAACACAUGCAAGUCGAACGAGUGGCGGACGGGUGAGUAAUUGCUGGGAAACUGCCCGAUGGAGGUGGAUAACUACUGGAAACGGUAGCUAAUACCGCAUACCAUCGGAUGUUCCCAAAUGGGUUUCGCUAGUAGUUGGGGUAACGUCUCACCUAGGCGACGAUCCCUAGGUGGUCUGACAGGAUGACCAGGCAUACUGGAACUGAGACACGGUCCAGACUCCUACGGUAGGCAGCAGUGGGGAAUAUUGCACAAUGGGCGCAAUCCUUAUGCAGCCAUGCCGCGUGUAUGAAGAAGGCCUGCGGGUUGUAAAGUACUUUCAGCGAGGAGGCGUUACUCGAAGAAGAAGCACCGGCUAACUCCGUGCCAGAAGCCGCGGUAAUUC
This 406-nucleotide ribosomal RNA is filed under the name uncultured bacterium. RNAcentral describes it as "partial 16S ribosomal RNA". It matches the Rfam family "Bacterial small subunit ribosomal RNA", at positions 30 to 526 of the family's 1533-position model. The record is from RNAcentral.